UCUCCAAUAAACAUUUAGUGGGAAAGGAAGUUUAGAUCCUAAGACAACUAGGAGGUCGGCUCAGAAGCAGCCAUCCUUUAAAGAAAGCGUAACAGCUCACUAGCCGUAGGAUUUAUGCGCCGAAAAUUUAACGAGGCUCAAAUGUUUAACCGAAGCUUAGGAUUUGCUCUAGUUUACUAGAGUGAGUGGUAAGGGAGCGUUCUGUGUGCUUUGAAGGUGGCCCGUAAGGAGCUGCUGGAGCGAUCAGAAGUGAGAAUGCUGGCAUAAGUAGCGUCAUUGAAGUGAGAAUCUUCAACUCCGAAUGUCCAAGGUUUCCGCACCCACGUUCGUCGUGUGCGGGUUAGGCGACCCUAAGACAAGCCCCGUCUCAGACGGAGGGUAGUCGAUGGAUUACUGGUUAAUAUUCCAGUCCUUGGUACAGAUCAUUAUUACUUGGGGAGGGACGAUGAUGGAUAGCGCUGGUGCAAAAGUGAAUUUUGUAUCCAAUCAACAAGACAGUCUAGUUAGGCAAAUCCGAUUAGGCGUUUAUUCAAGUUGUGAUAGGUCAAUACUCCGCGUGAGUGUUGAUCAGCGUGAUUUCAUUAUCCUGGAAAAGCUUCGCAAGGAGAGCUGUAUCAAAUCGUACCGAUAACCGACACAGGUGGACAGGUCGAGUAGACCAAGGAGAGCGAGAGAAAGUAGUUUAAGGAAUUCGGCAAAAUAGCUGGGCGUAACUUUGGGAAAUGCCCUCCCCAUCGCAAGAUGGGGCGCAGCGAAUGAGAUGGAGCUGACUGUUUACCAAAAACACAGGUCUGUGCAAACCCGCAAGGGGAAGUAUACGGGCUGAAACCUGCCCGGUGCUGGAAGGUUAAUUGCGAGGGUGAUUAGUUUACUAAUUGCUUUCAAUAGAAGCCCCAGUGAACGGCAGCAGUAACUAUAACUGUUCUAAGGUAGCGAAGUACCUUGUCACUUAAUUGGUGACGCGCAUGAAAGGCACAACAAGCCUCAUACUGUCUUGAACUACUACUCGGCGAAAUUGAGAUGGCCGUGAAGACGCGGCCUACUAACACAAGGACAAAAAGACCCCGUGAAGCUUUACUACAACUUGGCACUGGUCUUAUAUAUAGAAUUGUUUAGGAUAGGUGGGAGUUCCUUCAUUUAGUGAUGGAACAUCAGUGAAAUACCACUCGUUUUAUAUAUAGGACCUUACUUAAGACUAAUGCAAACUUAGUCAAGGACACUGUCUGGCAGGUAGUUUAACUGGGGAGGUUGCUUGCUAAAGAGUAACGCAAGCGCGCAAUGGUACCCUUAGUCUGGAUGGAAAUCAGACUGUACGUGCAAUAGCAUAUGGGUGCUUAACUGUGAGGCAUACGGGCCGAGCAGAUGCGAAAGCAGGUUAUAGUGAUCCUCGUGCACUUUAUGGAAGGUGCCGGGCUUAUCGGAUAAAAGCUACUCCGGGGAUAACAGAGUCAUCGCGCCUAAGCGUCCCUAGCGUCGGCGCGGUUUGCUACCUCGAUGUCGGCUCAUCGCAUCCUGGGGGUGAAGAAGCUCCCAAGGGUUUGGCUGUUCGCCAAUUAAAGCGGUACGCGAGCUGGGUUCAGACCGUCGUGAGACAGGUCGGCCUCUAUCCGCUGUCAGCGUUCGAUGUUUGAGGGAAUUUGCCCCUAGUACGAGAGGACCGGGGUGAGAGAAUCCCUAGAGAUCGGAAGAGCACACGUCUGAACUCCAGUCACGUCAGUCAAUCU
This 1724-nucleotide ribosomal RNA is filed under the name anaerobic digester metagenome. RNAcentral describes it as "bacterial LSU rRNA". It matches the Rfam family "Bacterial large subunit ribosomal RNA", at positions 1045 to 2770 of the family's 2925-position model. The record is from RNAcentral.